RNAcentral lists this non-coding RNA (30 nucleotides) under Rattus norvegicus (Norway rat). The record is from RNAcentral. Lineage: Eukaryota; Metazoa; Chordata; Mammalia; Rodentia; Muridae.
UAUUGUCUGAAAUUCUCAAAGAAAAUAUUU